UACGUAGGGGGCGAGCGUUGUCCGGAUUCAUUGGGCGUAAAGAGCUCGUAGGCGGUCUGUCGCGUCGGCUGUGAAAUCCCGAGGCUCAACCUCGGGUCUGCAGUCGAUACGGGCAAACUAGAGUAUUGCAGGGGAGACUGGAAUUCCUGGUGUAGCGGUGAAAUGCGCAGAUAUCAGGAGGAACACCGGUGGCGAAGGCGGGUCUCUGGGCAAUAACUGACGCUGAGGAGCGAAAGCGUGGGGAGCGAACAGG
This 253-nucleotide ribosomal RNA is filed under the name uncultured bacterium. Its description in RNAcentral is "partial 16S ribosomal RNA". It matches the Rfam family "Bacterial small subunit ribosomal RNA", at positions 524 to 776 of the family's 1533-position model. The record is from RNAcentral.